RNAcentral lists this ribosomal RNA (453 nucleotides) under Triticum aestivum (bread wheat). Its description in RNAcentral is "partial small subunit ribosomal RNA". The record is from RNAcentral. Lineage: Eukaryota; Viridiplantae; Streptophyta; Magnoliopsida; Poales; Poaceae.
CGAGAGAGAAAAAAACGCAGCGAUACAUCCAUCAACUGCGAUCGCCUGUUUCUCUUCUCUCGAUUCCCCAAGCCAAAGCUAGCCGCCGCCGACUCCCCAACCCCGGCCUCCACUCCAUCGCCGGCGGCCUCUCCCCCUUUCUCCCUGGACGCAUAUCCACUUGAGCAGCACAGCCUACGGUCAGAUCUGCCCCUCCGUCCUCGCGCCAGAAACCCUAGUCGUCCGGCCAUGGUGACCGACCGCAGGCACAUACCUCGACGACGGUGGCGCCACGGAGCGGAGCUUCCUCUGCCCGGGACGCCGCUCAUGUGCUCGUCAAGGUCCGCUGCUCCUUCCUCCAGUCCCAGUCCCAGGAUAAGCAGCAGUAGCAUGAAGGCUAUUCAAGCAGGAGUAUGUGUAGACAUAUUUGCUGUAACUGAUGAAUACACCGAUUUGGCUUCGUCGAAGUUUUAA